This 1481-nucleotide ribosomal RNA is filed under the name uncultured Bordetella sp. Its description in RNAcentral is "partial 16S-23S ribosomal RNA intergenic spacer". It matches the Rfam family "Bacterial small subunit ribosomal RNA". Lineage: Bacteria; Pseudomonadati; Pseudomonadota; Betaproteobacteria; Burkholderiales; Alcaligenaceae. The record is from RNAcentral.
AGUUUGAUUAUGGCUCAGAUUGAACGCUGGUGGGAUGCUUUACACAUGCAAGUCGAACGGCAGCACGGGACUUCGGUCUGUGGCGAGUGGCGAACGGGUGAGUAAUGUAUCGGAACGUGCCUAGUAGCGGGGGAUAACUACGCGAAAGCGCUUAAUACCGCAUACGCCCUUCGGGAAAAGCGGGGGACCUUCGGGCCUCGCACUAUUGGAGCGGCCGAUAUCGGAUUAGCUAGUUGGUGGGGUAACGGCUCACCAAGGCGACGAUCCGUAGCUGGUUUGAGAGGACGACCAGCCACACUGGGACGGAGACACGGCCCAGACUCCUACGGAGGCAGUGGGGAAUUUUGGACAAUGGGGGAAACCUUCGAUCCAGCCAUCCCGCGUGUGCGAUGAAGGCCUUCGGGUUGUAAAGCACUUUUGGCAGGAAAGAAACGGCACGGGAUAAUACCCCGUGCAACUGACGGUACCUGAAGAAUAAGCACCGGUUAACUACGUGCCAGCAGCUGCGGUAAUACGUAGGGUGCAAGCGUUAAUCGGAAUUACUGGGCGUAAAGCGUGCGCAGGCGGUUCGGAAGAAAGAUGUGAAAUCCCAGAGCUUAACUUUGGAACUGCAUUUAACUGAGCUAGGAGUGUGUCAGAGGGAGGUGGAAUUCCGCGUGUAGCAGUGAAUGUAGUGUAGAUAUGCGAGGAACACCGAUGGCGAAGGCAGCCCUGGGAUAACACUGACGCUCAUGCACGAAAGGGAGCGCAACAGUGAUUGAUACCUGGUGGCCCACGCCCUAAACGAUGUCAACUAGCUGUUGGGGCCUUUCGGGCCUUGGUAGCGCAGCUAACGCGUGAAGUUGACCGCCUGGGGAGUACAUCGCAAGAUUAAAACCCAAAGGACUGACGGGGACCCGCACAAGCGGUGGAUGAUGUGGAUUAAUCUGAUGCAACGCGAAAAACCUUACCUACCCUUGACAUGUCUGGAAUCCCGAAGAGAUUUGGAGGUUUCUGCAAGAGAACCGGAACACAGGUGCUGCAUGGCUGUCGUCAGCUCGUGUCGUGAGACGUUGGGUUAAGUCCCUGGCAACGAGCGCAACCUCCCUUGUCAUUAGUUGCUACGAAAGGGCACUCUAAUGAGACUGCCGGUGACAAACUGGAGGAAGGUGGGGAUGACGUCAAGUCCUCAUGGCCCUUAUGGGUAGGGCUUCACACGUCAUACAAUGGUCGGGACAGAGGGUCGCCAACGGCGAGGGGAGCCAAUCCCAGAAACCCGAUCGUAGUCCGGAUCGCAGUCUGCAACUCGACUGCGUGAAGUCGGAAUCGCUAGUAAUCGCGGAUCAGCAUAGUCGCGGUGAAUACGUUCCGGGUCUUGUACACCGCCCGUCACACCAUGGAGUGGGUUUUACCAGAAGUAGUUAGCUUCCAACUGCAAGGGAGGGCGAUUGCUUCAUUGCAGGAUCUUAUUCUGAAGUGAAGCUGUAACAAAGGCGAAUUUC